This 480-nucleotide ribosomal RNA is filed under the name uncultured bacterium. Its description in RNAcentral is "partial 16S ribosomal RNA". It matches the Rfam family "Bacterial small subunit ribosomal RNA", at positions 28 to 523 of the family's 1533-position model. The record is from RNAcentral.
GACGAACGCUGGCGGCGUGCUUAACACAUGCAAGUCGAGCGAUGAAACACCUUCGGGUGCGGAUUAGCGGCGAACGGGUGAGGAACACGUGAGGAAUCUGCCUUCCACUCUGGGAUAACUCCGGGAAACCGGGGCUAAUACCGGAUACUUUCAACUGGCGGCAUCGCCGGUUGAAGAAAGUUUUUCGGUGGAAGAUGACCUCGCGGCCUAUCAGCUUGUUGGUGUGGUAAAGGCUCACCAAGGCGACGACGGGUAGCCGGCCUGGGAGGGCGACCGGCCACACUGGGACUGAGACACGACCCAGACUCCUACGGGAGGCAGCAGGGGGGAAUAUUGGGCAAUGGAGGAAACUCUGACCCAGCGGCGCCGCGUGAGGGAUGAAGGCCUUCGGGUUGUAAACCUCUUUCAGCAGGGAAUAAGCGAAAGUGAAGGUACCUGCAGAAGAAGCACCGGCUAACUAUGUGCCAGCCGCCGCAGUAA